Molecule: unclassified non-coding RNA, 792 nt
Filed under: Hevea brasiliensis (rubber tree)
Lineage: Eukaryota; Viridiplantae; Streptophyta; Magnoliopsida; Malpighiales; Euphorbiaceae
Source: RNAcentral
AAGAAACCAAAAUCAUUGUUGCUUUCCAUCCUUACACAAAGUACAUCUGCAGAAAAGCAAUGGGUAAAGCACUGCCUGCGCUCCUCUUCUUGUACUUCAUUUCAGUUGGAAAGUUGGUCACAGCUAAUAAUUGUCAGCAGGUACAAAAAUACAAUCUGCUUCAUUACAAAUUAAUCAGAUAAAGUGAAUCAUUGUUGAGAGAAAAUUUUCUAUUCGAUGAAAUUGCAGAAAACUUGGUGUGUAGCCAAGCCAUCUUCAGACCAAGCAACUUUACUGGCAAAUAUUAACUAUGCAUGCUCUCAAGUUGAUUGCAGAAUUCUGCAGAAGGGUUGUCCUUGCUUUUCUCCAGAUAAUCUCAUUAACCAUGCCUCCAUAGCCAUGAAUCUCUACUACCAGUCCAGGGGAAGGAACAAAUGGAAUUGCGAUUUCAGGAACUCUGCUCUCAUUGUCAUCUCUGAUCCCAGUAAGUUGAUUCGUUACACAUUCUUAUAAUGAAAUUGUUUUUAUAUUCACUGAAAUCGGUUUCGAGUUCGAACCGUAAUUGGAGCCUGAUUAACUUCUUUUUCAAUUUGCAGGUUAUGCUGAUUGCAUAUAUGCAUAAUAGUUGGUCCAGCAGGAAGUGGGAUUUGCCCGUGAAAAGUUGUAGAAGCUUUUGGCUUGGUUUUUGAAUAUUGUUGCAGAAUAGUGUAGUCUAAUUCUAAUAUGCAAUCUUUUGCCUAAUUUAGUUGAAUUCUGUCUCUGUAAUUGUCACUCAAAGGAAAAUGAAAGAUAAUUUACUGUUGCAGUGCCUGG